UUUUAGCUUCCCACAUGUAAAUCCCAACCAAAAUGUCAUAUGUAAUAAUAAUGAAUAAUAAAAUAAUAUAGGAAGUGAAUAUAUAAAAAGAAAACAAUAAAUAAAAAGCAAGAAAUAAAUAAAAAGCAAACAAAGAAACAAGUAAAACCCUAGAACUAGAGGCUAGGAUGAACUCUCUUUAGGGAAGUAGCGCCCUCAGCAGAGUCACCAGCUGUCACGACUGGGAAAUCA
This 231-nucleotide long non-coding RNA is filed under the name Lathyrus oleraceus (garden pea). RNAcentral describes it as "Pisum sativum (pea) long non-coding RNA (PSAT_LNC032898)". Lineage: Eukaryota; Viridiplantae; Streptophyta; Magnoliopsida; Fabales; Fabaceae. The record is from RNAcentral.